Long non-coding RNA from Oncorhynchus tshawytscha (Chinook salmon), 1288 nucleotides. Lineage: Eukaryota; Metazoa; Chordata; Actinopteri; Salmoniformes; Salmonidae. The record is from Ensembl.
AAAGCUCCUUAUGCAUCCUGAGCCCUGACUGUGACCUCUACAUCUGUGACGGAGACGACGACAGCACUGACAGCUGUCGGGACCAGAGUGUCUACGCUGAUCUCAGUGGCUCCAUCAGUGCAGAGGACGACUACCUGCUUCUCCGGCACCGCUCAACCCACCUCACCAUGACCCGCCUGGACCCACCACCCCACCGAACCAACCCCAAAGCCUGGAUGGAGGAGGACAACAGCAGGGGCAGGAUUGGCAGACACUCAGGGUUAAAAGAAGAAAGGAAUCGUGAAAGUGGCUACUUCUCUCUGGGGAGGGCAAAAGGUGCCCGUUCUCUCAGGGAUCAGAGCCCCCCUCCCGUUUACCGCCAUUCAGAGAGGGGACACCCCCUCUACAGCAACCGGAGCCCUGAGCCCAAAGCUACCAUCCCCUUCAGGAACCCUAACCUGGGGCUGGCCUCAGAGAGGUUAAACCCAGAGAUACUAAACCCAGACCUGCCUCUGGAAAUCCCUGAACCUCCUGACGCAUUUGAUCUCACCAUCGAGGUUGAGGCUCAGGUGGGCCCUCGCUCCCCAAGCCCCACCCCUUUUAAGAUAGCAGAAUCCCUGGCCUCCACUAACCGGAGGGGUUUCAACAGCUCAUACAGUAGAAGAAACUCCCCUUCCUAUCAGGAGUCUGGGAAGUUAAAUGCAUCGAGACAAAGCUCCUCUCUGUCCCGCUCCUCUUCACCCUUACGAAACACCUCCCCAUUCAAACAAAGUGAAUGUGCCACCUCCCUCAACAGACGGGGCUUAGACUCUGAGGGCUGGUCUCAGGGGUGGGACCAGACUUCUAGAGGUCCCCCCCAGAACUCUUUUGGACGAGGUGUUGAUAUUAGAGGCUUGAAUAAAAAUGUAAUAUCGAUGGCUAGUUCAGUUGGUUCCAUAUCACAGGUCAACUCUGUUUCAGAUUUUAAAAGUGCAUUGCGCAAGAAUGGGGCAGACAGCUCCUUAAAUGGUCGUGGACGUGACACACGAAGCUCCGCCCCUUCAAGGGGGGGUUACGAAAGCCCCAGACAAUCCCUGGUCCGCAAAUCUGAAACAAGUAACUCCUUAAAUGGCCGUGACAGCAGAAGCUCAUCUCCCUCAAAAAGGGCUUAUGACACCUCCAACCAAACCCUGCUUCGCAAAUCUGAUGAGAACAGCUUGAUAAAUGGUCAUGGUUGUGAAAGUCGCAAUUCUUCUCCUUUGAUGAGUUACGAUGCCACCAGCCAGUCCCUCCUUCGCAAAUCUGAAACGAACAGUUCUCUCAAUGGUCA